Molecule: long non-coding RNA, 405 nt
Organism: Cydia strobilella
Lineage: Eukaryota; Metazoa; Arthropoda; Insecta; Lepidoptera; Tortricidae
Exons: 4
Source: RefSeq, a predicted model, not a curated record
CCAGCGCGAGCUACGCGCUACGAGCAUAGCCGACAACAUGAGAAUCCACCACAACAUCCACCUUUCAAGAUGUUGCUCCUGUAACUGACAUUCAGCCCACCUUUCAUUCUGCUGCUUCUGCGCCAGGCACAUCAUGCGCCCAACAUAAGUACUUCUCUUGGGAUUCACAAUCAACCUACCUUUCAUUUCGCUACUUCUGCCCCAGGGUGGCCCCAGGCACCAGGCACUGCCAGCGCCCAACAUUUGCUCCUAGAAUUGACUAUCAGCACAUCUUUCAUUCUGCUGCUUCUAUGCCAGUUACGCCCGCUAUACAACAGUCUGAGGUGCCUACCAUCAUCAACAACGUAUGUACUGCAGAUUCUUCUGUAUUUGCAGAACAUAAUUAUAGUGUGAUGAGUCGUUCGA